This 334-nucleotide unclassified non-coding RNA is filed under the name uncultured Glomerales. Its description in RNAcentral is "sequence contains 18S rRNA gene". Lineage: Eukaryota; Fungi; Glomeromycota; Glomeromycetes; Glomerales; Glomeraceae. The record is from RNAcentral.
CCCAACUAUCCCUAUUAAUCAUUACGUCGAUCCUAGAAACCAACAAAAUAGGGUCAAACGUCUUAUUUCAUUAUUCCAUACUAAUGUAUUCAAGCUAAUGCCUGCUUUAAACACUCUAAUUUUUUCAAAGUAACAGUCCUAACUCCCCAUAAUACCAAAUUAAUGACAUCAUGGUUCGUCAGAAGGGAGAAAUCAAUGAUACCAGUACGUACCAGAGACACGACCGAUAUAUUGAUCCCAAAAUUCAACUACGAGCUUUUUAACUGCAACAACUUUAAUAUACGCUAUUGGAGCUGGAAUUAUCACGGCUGCUGGCACCAGACUUGCCCUCCAA